CCUACGGGAGGCAGCAGUGGGGAAUAUUGCACAAUGGGCGCAAGCCUGAUGCAGCCAUGCCGCGUGUGUGAAGAAGGCCUUCGGGUUGUAAAGCACUUUCAGCGGGGAGGAAGGCGUUAAGGUUAAUAACCUUGGCGAUUGACGUUACCCGCAGAAGGAGCACCGGCUAACUCCGUGCCAGCAGCCGCGGUAAUACGGAGGGUGCAAGCGUUAAUCGGAAUUACUGGGCGUAAAGCGCACGCAGGCGGUCUGUCAAGUCGGAUGUGAAAUCCCCGGGCUCAACCUGGGAACUGCAUUCGAAACUGGCAGGCUAGAGUCUUGUAGAGGGGGGUAGAAUUCCAGGUGUAGCGGUGAAAUGCGUAGAGAUCUGGAGGAAUACCGGUGGCGAAGGCGGCCCCCUGGACAAAGACUGACGCUCAGGUGCGAAAGCGUGGGGAGCAAACAGGAUUAGAUACCCUAGUAGUC
This 465-nucleotide ribosomal RNA is filed under the name uncultured Klebsiella sp. RNAcentral's name for it is "bacterial SSU rRNA". It matches the Rfam family "Bacterial small subunit ribosomal RNA", at positions 338 to 795 of the family's 1533-position model. The record is from RNAcentral. Lineage: Bacteria; Pseudomonadati; Pseudomonadota; Gammaproteobacteria; Enterobacterales; Enterobacteriaceae.